UGGGCUGAGCCUGCUGCUCGAGGCUUAGAAGUGGACCUGGGCCUCCUGCCUAGGGUUUGGUUGCCUAGGGUUUGGUGGGAGUGGUGUCGUGGCUUGGUGGCCUUACCGUGGCUGCUGGGUCACGGUGGUGAUGAUGGUGGUACGACUAUGCGGCAGUGGGGCUCCUCAUGUUGUCGUGUUAAGCCUUGAGGAUCUCCAUCGUGGGGCUAUGUCCUGGUCUCCACUCUCUGGUCCAAAUCCUUCCACGUAUGGGGUUUCUUUCGUCAUAGUUUCUGAAUUUCCUACCAUUGUAUCCUUUCUCCAGGGAUUGAUCAAGAAACUUUUCUAGGAAAAAUUAAUUGAUAUGACGUGAGAAAUUCAACGUAACAGAAAAUUCAAGAAACUAAUGCGAGUGGCUUCUUCGAGUAUUUUGAAUCAGCUCUCAAUGAAAGCACCAAUUUAUCGAUGUAAAUUUCCGCCGUCUUCAGUUUUGACGAAAAUGCACCUGCAAAACAAUCAACACCUUUGAUCAGAGGCCUAAGCCUCACGAGCCCACGAGGUAGGGGGGUUAGGUCAACGGAUCUCUGAUGCCUAAGUUAGUUUCUCUGAGACAGUAAAGUGUUUAGGGCUUUUUUUAGGGUUGCAAAAGCUGUGAAAAGUUGGUAGAAUAUGAGGUAUUUAUAGGGCUAGGGCCGGCCAUAUAGUGUUUAAUGGAGAGAGAUUCUCUAAAUAUUCCCAAGAUAUUAAAUAGGAAAUAAUAUCUUGAGAUAAUGGUAUAAUUAUCGUAAUUUAAAUAAAUUAGGAUUACUUACUUGAUUGUAGUUAUUCUUGAAGUAAGAAUGUAUUAAAGAUAGGAUUUGGAUAAUUAAUCCUUAUCCUUAAUUCCUUGCCAAAGGCAGAUGAGCUGUGGGCAGUUGUGUUCAGCUGCUUAGUCCUUCAGGGAUGUAAGCUGCGCGUGGGAGCAUCUGGGAAGCCUGCCCUUUUAUUAAGGGCAAUCUUGUCCUUCUAAAAUAAAAGUCCACGUGUGUCCUCUAUAAUAUUUGGGAUUAUUUUAGGCUCCACAAUUGUCAUCUAGUAGAAUGCAUAACUCCACGUGUGGCCUCUAGAAUAUGUGGGAUUAUUUUAGGCUUCACAAUUGUCAUCUAGUAGAAUGCAUAAUUCUCUGUUGAACACUGUAACCCAAAGUUGGUAAUUAACUAGCACUCCACACGUGCUUGCAUUUGAUGUAUCAGUACACAUUGAUCGUAAUGCUCUAUACAACAACAACAACAACAACAAAGCCUUUUCCCACUAAGUGGGGUCGGCUAUAUGAAUCCUAGAACGC
RNAcentral lists this long non-coding RNA (1303 nucleotides) under Malus domestica (apple). Its description in RNAcentral is "long non-coding RNA (MDOM_LNC018554)". The record is from RNAcentral. Lineage: Eukaryota; Viridiplantae; Streptophyta; Magnoliopsida; Rosales; Rosaceae.